UACGUAGGGGGCUAGCGUUGUCCGGAUUUAUUGGGCGUAAAGAGCGUGUAGGCGGCCAGGUAGGUCUGGUGUGAAAACUCGAGGCUUAACCUCGAGAUGUCAUCGGAAACCAUCUGGCUAGAGUCCGGAAGAGGAAAGUGGAACUCCUGGUGUAGCGGUGAAAUGCGCAGAUAUCAGGAAGAACACCAAUGGCGAAAGCAGCUUUCUGGGACGGUACUGACGCUGAGACGCGAAAGCGUGGGGAGCGAACAGG
This 253-nucleotide ribosomal RNA is filed under the name uncultured bacterium. RNAcentral's name for it is "partial 16S ribosomal RNA". It matches the Rfam family "Bacterial small subunit ribosomal RNA", at positions 524 to 776 of the family's 1533-position model. The record is from RNAcentral.